CCGGAUCAGAAUCCGACCAUGGCGACGCCCCCCGAUGCAGCACUGCGCCUCGGCGCAGUACGGACAUUCCUUGAUCGCAGCGAGCAGGUCGUCGCGCUUCUGCGCCUGUAUCCCGCCUUAUACCGAGCAAACGGGGACCAUCGGUUCAUAAUCUCUGAUCAUCCCACCGCAGUGAUGAAUGCUUUUCCCUAUGGGGAACUCGGACUUACUUCG
This 213-nucleotide unclassified non-coding RNA is filed under the name Hevea brasiliensis (rubber tree). Lineage: Eukaryota; Viridiplantae; Streptophyta; Magnoliopsida; Malpighiales; Euphorbiaceae. The record is from RNAcentral.